GCCGCCCGAGCCCCCGGCACCGCCACCAUUGUAGGAACCUCAAGCAGCGCCGCCCCUUCCCCUUCUCUCGAUCUUUCCACACCUAUAGCUAGGCAGGGGCUCAAUCCUCUCUUUCUGUAUGCUCCCUUUCAUCCCCGCCUCCCUGUCCCUCUGCUCUGUGUCUUUCGAUGGUGAGAGGAAUAUGAGAGGAUGAGGACGGGAGGAUGGGAAGAAAAGUCGAUCUGGAACAGGGACGCCAUGGUCCAUUCGAUCUAGAACCGGAGGACAAGAGGACGAGGUCUUCUACAGGUUCGAUCUUUGCCUAAAUCGAUGUGGUCAAUGCCGAGUACAUUAAAAUAUUGUUGGCUCGGCAGCGAUGCCGUAAGAAAUUUGUUUGACACCGGCUUGACAAUGUUUGUGUUCCUAGCAUGAAAAGAGUGGGCGUCAGAUUUAGACCCACUGAACUACUCCACGGCACAAUGAUCUAGCCAUGGUUUCUGAGCCAAACUUAAUUUAAUCAUGACCAAAUGCAUAUGGCAUAGUACGUAAGGAUGGCAUUCUUCAGCCGCCACACAUAAUCAGGAAGUACUGCAUCUGGGCAAAGCAGAGAGCGAAAUUCAUAGUUGUCCCCAAGAGCUGACCAGCUGAGUGGACCUUCUUACCAGGAAAGGUCCAGGACAUAGAACCCCUUGACCAACUAAGGGCGCAAGAGACGACACAGGUGAGCAAGAAAAUUGCAGUAGUGUGCCCUCUCGGNNNNNNNNNNNNNNNNNNNNNNNNNNNNNNNNNNNNNNNNNNNNNNNNNNNNNNNNNNNNNNNNNNNNNNNNNNNNNNNNNNNNNNNNNNNNNNNNNNNNNNNNNNNNNNNNNNNNNNNNNNNNNNNNNNNNNNNNNNNNNNNNNNNNNNNNNNNNNNNNNNNNNNNNNNAUUCGGCUUCCACCGCCAAGCCCGACGUGGAGUUUGAAGACAAAUGGAAUCGCCAUCUUGCAACAAAAAUUGACAGUAAUGAUUCAUGUCAGCAGUUUGCGAAUAGAAGAACUCAAGUGAGCCAUCAACUUCUUCCUUGCGAGAGUAUCUUCAGUGUACUUUGCUUCCUCACGUGAGCCACCGAGCUAAUUGUCUGCUGCUUUGAAAAUUUGGAAUUGGAGCAAGUAGGUGUUCCGGUGCCCAGAAUUUUUUACGGUACUGGCUGGGCAAUGGAGGGCACCGUUUUAUGCAAAUUUCAGACUUUACUUCUUGGCUACUUGCUACCGUUUGAGCAACUGCUUUGCCUUUCUCUUCAUAAAAAUUGUCUUGGCUUUUGAUGCAAUUGUUCUCAUGGCACUGCACGGAUAGGCAUUGUAUCAUUAUUUUUGCUUAACUGUUCUCUUUUUAUUUUGUUUCAGGUUCCCGAUUUCUGUAGCCAUGAUUAUGGCCUAUUUUUCUGAUGCAUGUUGCUUUUUUGAAUAAAAGAUGUACGAAAAUUCAUUGACGGCAUGGAUUAGAGUAAUUGCUUUUUGCUGAUUUGGUCGUUUCUUUACAUUGUUUAUUCCAGCAGAAAUCAUGCUCAAGGAGAGUACAAGUCCAGUAGAGAUUAUAUGGAAUUAAAUAGGUGCAUGUGAUUGGCGUGGUUACAGGUUUCCCACAUUUUUGUGGUUACCAUGCAUUCCAUUCACAUUUAAUAAAUGCAUUAGCAAAAAAUAAUUGGUCAAAGUUUAACUUCUGAGAUAGGUUUAAGUCAAUAACAGGAAGAGAGUAUGUUAAAUGUUGAUUGCUCUGGCUUAUAUGAUGAUAGAUUGCUUCUUCAAAGCUCUUUCUGUACAAAGGAAUACAUAUAUUGGACAUUUGAGGGGAGCUUUAGUUCAAUAGAUAUUGUCCUAACUAACCGUGAGUGAGUUCAUGCUAAUCUAUCAUUACAGAGUGUUUUCUUCCGAUUUUUUGAGUCCACAUAGUUACAAUCUCUAUCUAGAACUUUUCAAAUUGUUGUCAUAGUUGCUUUACACAUUAGUGAUUUACCAUUCUCAAACCUUUUGUAUCACAUAUUUUUGUCACUCUGCACUUGCAUGUUUCCUCUAGGAAAAUUUUCUAAGCAGAGCUAACCAUUGAUAUAUAUUACCUCCAUCCCUAAUUAGUUGACUCAAAUAUGUCUAGAUACGGAUGUAGCCACACGUGAGCGCUUUUGCUUGCAGUUCUAUGGUUUGUUCUUUUUUAUUGUUCAUCAAUGAGUUGAACCAUUAACCUGACUAAGAUUUUAUCCCGCUAGGCAGCGUGAGCCCUGAGCCCACUAAACAUUAUUUGAGAGGCGAUUUCCUAUGCAUGGUUGUAGCUACACACCCUUAGGUAUAAUUACGUUUUUAAUAUAUGACGUGUUGGGUUUCAAUGACAAUUGCACAAGUGCAUUUUUUAUGUAUAGAAUUGAGUUUUUAUCACCUCUCUUUGUCUUUUCUAUUAUAUUAUUAACACAAGUGUCCUUUUGUUGUGUAGAAAGGGUGUUUCUCACUUCUCUCGGUCUUUUUUGCUUGCCUUUUUGGUAUAAUUGCAUGUUUGCCUGCGUGGCUGGUCCAAAGUCAUGAUAUUUUUGUUAUAGAGUUAUUUUUCAUAGUCCAAAAUAAUUUACCAAUUGAAUUAGAGCUAAAAAAUGGUGCCAUGUGUAGCUACCACCAUGGUAGCAAAUUAUUUCUAUUGUAGAAAGAAAAUAUUUAGCCUUAGAGAAAAUAAGUAAAGAGUAAUAUUUUGCACGUUAUGAGCUUGUCCUUUCUGAAGCUUGGCCAGCUUCGAUCAUCAUGAACAUCUAUGACAAGAACAAAAUGAACAUUUCUCCUUUUCGGCUAUAUUUGUGGUGGACUUCUUGUUUAUAUUGGUAAAUGUAGUUUACUAAUUCCGUGACAAGUACCAAGUGGACACAUCAUUUCAGUUGGAACUAUUUGUAGCUCUUUGUUCUGCCUGUUUAGGAUAUACUCUGACUUAACCAACUUCGGCACUCCAAAGUUUUGCUACAAGCCUACAACACUUUUCUCUAGCUGCUGAGCUCCCUCAUUUUGUGGUAUUUUUGUUAAUCUAUGCAUCUCCCUUAUUCCACAAAUUAGAGAGUUGGAAAAAUAUUUCACCAUGUGUAGGAAUAGGAUUAGAGGGAGUACACCACUUUAUUUAUUUAUAUACAACGCAAGCUAAGAUAUCUUCAUUUCAUAUAUUAAAAAUUAAAUAUACGUAAUCAGUAAAUGUACAUGCUUUCUCACAUCAUAUUGCUACAUGUUAAUGAUUUGUGCUAUCUUAAUGUAGGAUGUAGCGGCACUUGAUCGAAAGAUCCAGGUUGGGAAGGGACAUUUCUAUGACAAGCACAAGUGGAAGGACCAAAAGGUCCAGAUUGAAAGUAUACCAUUCCAAGGUACAAGCACAUGUCAUGGAAAUAUUGCUACGGGUGGUUGUAAAGUCCACAUAUUAAGAUGUGAUGUUGUUGAAUGAUGUGAGAUCCUCUUGCUUUGUAUGUCUAAUUUUAUGAUGGUGAAUUGAUGGAUGUUGAGUAGAUUAACAUUUUCUUUUGCACCGUGUAUGUGCAAAAUGCAAAUGAUAUGGAAAUAGAAGAACAAGAGAUUGAGAUGGUAAUGUCCAUCCAUGGAAAUAGCCUUAGCAUGGUCUAUUCAUGUGAUUGCAUGCGCA
This 3614-nucleotide long non-coding RNA is filed under the name Hordeum vulgare. RNAcentral describes it as "long non-coding RNA (HVUL_LNC017536)". Lineage: Eukaryota; Viridiplantae; Streptophyta; Magnoliopsida; Poales; Poaceae. The record is from RNAcentral.